GAUGAACGCUGGCGGCGUGCCUAAUACAUGCCAGUCGAGCGAACGGACGAGAAGCUUGCUUCUCUGAUGUUAGCGGCGGACGGGUGAGUAACACGUGGAUAACCUACCUAUAAGACUGGGAUAACUUCGGGAAACCGGAGCUAAUACCGGAUAAUAUUUUGAACCGCAUGGUUCAAAAGUGAAAGACGGUCUUGCUGUCACUUAUAGAUGGAUCCGCGCUGCAUUAGCUAGUUGGUAAGGUAACGGCUUACCAAGGCAACGAUGCAUAGCCGACCUGAGAGGGUGGUAGGCCACACUGGAGCUGAGACACGGUCCUGACUCCUACGGGAGGCAGCAGUAGGGAACCUUCCGCAAUGGGCGAAAGCCUGACGGAGCAACGCCGCGUGAGUGAUGAAGGUCUUCGGAUCGUAAAACUCUGUUAUGAGGGAAGAACAGAUGUGGAAGUAACUGUGCACAUCUUGACGGUACCUAAUCAGAAAGCCACGGCUAACUACGUG
RNAcentral lists this ribosomal RNA (497 nucleotides) under uncultured bacterium. RNAcentral describes it as "partial 16S ribosomal RNA". It matches the Rfam family "Bacterial small subunit ribosomal RNA", at positions 28 to 507 of the family's 1533-position model. The record is from RNAcentral.